AUACGUAGGGUGCAAGCGUUAAUCGGAAUUACUGGGCGUAAAGCGUGCGCAGGCGGCUUUGUAAGACAGAGGUGAAAUCCCCGGGCUCAACCUGGGAACUGCCUUUGUGACUGCAAGGCUAGAGUACGGCAGAGGGGGAUGGCAUUCCGCGUGUAGCAGUGAAAUGCGUAGAUAUGCGGAGGAACACCGAUGGCGAAGGCAAUCCCCUGGGCCUGUACUGACGCUCAUGCACGAAAGCGUGGGGAGCAAACAGGAUUAGAUACCCUGGUAGUCCACGCCCUAAACGAUGUCAACUGGUUGUUGGGUCUUCAUUGACUCAGUAACGAAGCUAACGCGUGAAGUUGACCGCCUGGGGAGUACGGCCGCAAGGUCGAAACUCAAAGGAAUUGACGGGG
RNAcentral lists this ribosomal RNA (395 nucleotides) under uncultured bacterium. RNAcentral's name for it is "partial 16S ribosomal RNA". It matches the Rfam family "Bacterial small subunit ribosomal RNA", at positions 523 to 918 of the family's 1533-position model. The record is from RNAcentral.